GCAAGCGCACGCGCUGCUUCGGGCGAGCAUUGCCUCGGCCAAUCCGCCUCGUGUCGGUUUUUUGCCGCGCUCAAAGGUGCCUCAGUCCAUUUGGCGCGCGCACUCAGGACGGACGUUGUGUGCCUCGCUCGCUCGCGUCAUGGAUAAGGAGCUGUGCUUGAAACUUAUCGAGCAAUAUGGGAAUUACAAACUUCUUUGGGACGCGCAAUGUCCACAAUACAUAAACAGGGGAUUGAGGGAAGAUGCAUGGAUAAAUAUAAGCAGAGAAAUGAAUCUCCCAGUAAAAGAUCUGAAAAAGAAGAUGGAGUCUUUGAUGGGAUCAUACCGAAGAGAAAAAUCAAGGGAGAAAAAAAGCCGGGUUACAGGAUCAGGUCGUGACGAGGUGUAUACUUCAACAUGGUAUGCAUAUGGAGCUUUCAGCUUUAUGGGAGAUAGAAAUGAUCCAGGUGAAACUCAAGAUACUUUUCAUACGCAAGAAGACAUUCAGGAAGAAGGUGAUGAAAGCAGGAAUGAAACUCAAGAAUCAACUAGAGGACUGGGACAACAACAAGAAAUUCCAAAAAGAAGAGCUAAAAAGAGAUCUGCAGCUGUACAAGAGAUAUCAGAUAAUACUAUAACCGAAGCAUUUAAACUUUUGAAACAAUGUGUAGGCGACGCUAAUGCUUCGCAGCCCCGUGCAAACGAUUCAUAUGAUGCUUUUGGGCAAUACAUUGCUCACGAACUAAGAAAAUACGACAAUUAUACUUUAGCGCAUGUAAAAAUUCUAUCUGUAGGAUCAUUUUUGAAACAGAUACUGGUGCACACCAACAUUAUAUGCCAAACACAGGUUACUAUACUCACACCUACGGUUCUGCAUAUUCCACUUCAGGUAACUCUUGUUCUAUCCCUUCAAUGUCACCGAUGCCUCCUCCGCCGAUACAUUCUAGCUCACCAAUGCCUUCUCCGUCACCAAUAACUUCUACCUCACCAAUGCCUCCUCCGCCGAUACAUUCUAUUUCAUCAAUGCCACCUCCACAUAAUGAAUAAAUAGAUUUAAAAAGUCUUCGUGUUGCAAUAUUCUUAGAUAUAUAAGUAAAGAUUAUAGUUAGCAAUGUGUGAGUAAAUAUGAAUAAUUACAAAAAUUUGUGAGUAACAAUAAACAUAACAAUAGGUAAAAAAGCAACGAUUAAAACAAUGUCUGAUUAUAUAAAUAUGUUUCAUUAUACAUACCUUAUCAUAGUCCUUUAAUUGUUCAAUAAUGGCGUCACAAACAUCAGGAACAAUUACUGAUAUCCUUUGUUUCGAAACCCGAAAUAAAUAUUGUAAGCUGGUGUAGGAAUCUCCUGUUGCCAAAAAUCUUUAUGUUAUCAACAAUCUUUCUCGUACAGUAAUUGCUUUGCGGAAAUUUGUGUCACUCCUGCUUAUUUUGGCAUUUACAAGUGAGUACAGUAUUUCAA
Molecule: long non-coding RNA, 1436 nt
Organism: Leptidea sinapis
Lineage: Eukaryota; Metazoa; Arthropoda; Insecta; Lepidoptera; Pieridae
Exons: 3
Source: RefSeq, a predicted model, not a curated record